UACAAUCAAACUUAAACGUCGCGUUUUGUAUUAGGAUUAGUCAUGUCUCCGUCUCGAGUCUCCAGCGUUUCCCCAUCGAUUGCUCUUUCAACUUCUUCAUCCGGUGUGACUGAAGCAGUAACGAUUCCCCCUCAUAAAGCUCUCCUUAAUCAAUCAUACACGAUCUCCAUUCAAUCGUGCUUUCGGAAUCAUUCUUCAAUCGUUCAGAACAUGGCUAACAAUAUGUUCUUCCUCUCCGAUCUCCAGACUGGCCGUUCUUCCUCCUCCGUUCAAGUUCGCCUGCUCCGAUUUUGGGAGGCCAGUAACGUCCGGCGUGGUGGAGAGCUUAUGGGAGUCGACAUGCUCCUUCUUGCUUCUCAGCAUGUGUACAGGCUGGCAUGUUAGCUCUUCUUCGCGAUGCCACAGAGGUGCAAACUUCACCAGCUUAUAAAGGAUCGUAUCAACAAUAGUUUGAUGGCUUAUUGAAUAAGUUAAUACAUUCUUUUUCGACCAUUUUUCCUCAUAACAUGCCUUUAUUAAGUUUGUAGUUCCCAUCACUCCUUACUCUUCAUAUUUCUACUACACUAGCAGCAACUGUUUAUUGAAGAAUUUCAGUGGAAACAUCAAAUGGGAGUCCACAACAUCUUAAUAAACCUCAUGGUUGAGGAACCUGUUUACAUGGCACCACAAGGAGAAAGGAAAAGUAGAGGCUGGCAUGGACAUAGAGAAAUCGACAAGGAAGAUUUUGAGACAAAGCUGAACAUAACAAGCACUACGCUCAACGUCACACAAGAAGUUGUAUUCUUUUGAAGUAGACCUUGAAAAGGCAACAUUUAUGGUGCAGAUCACUUCAGCUUCAGUUAGAAGAAAUUUCGUCACUUUCGUAUGAGCUUUUGCACUGUUGAAACGACCAGACCAAUGCAAGUCUAAAAAUGGAGGAGAUAUUGUAAUGGCUUCUGCAAAAUUAUCAAUGUCGAAAGCAGGUACCGACUUACAGAAGCAACUAGAAGCGUACAAGCAACACAGUGAAAUUUCCAGGUGUUCUCUCCAUGGAAGUAUAGAACAUUUGCGUCAAAAGGUUCGCCCUACAAAGCAAGGAUAACAAUCUUAGAGUUAUUCAUGAUGGUGGUAGAAAUUAUGCAUUGAUUGUGUGCGAACAAGUGAAAUCCAAAUCUGAGAAGAUGGAAAUUUUUCCAAAAUAUGUAGAAACAAAGAUAAUGCUUCUGAAUGAAGCUGCCUGCUGCUGUUCAAUAUAAAAAAAAGAGUGAGCAUCAAGAAUGUUUACUAUGUAAUGAAUACAAACAAAGAUAUGAAUGUUUGUUUAAGAACC
Molecule: long non-coding RNA, 1309 nt
Organism: Raphanus sativus (radish)
Lineage: Eukaryota; Viridiplantae; Streptophyta; Magnoliopsida; Brassicales; Brassicaceae
Exons: 5
Source: RefSeq, a predicted model, not a curated record